This 77-nucleotide transfer RNA is filed under the name Clostridiales bacterium. RNAcentral's name for it is "tRNA-Met". It matches the Rfam family "tRNA". Rfam says of the family: Transfer RNA (tRNA) molecules are approximately 80 nucleotides in length. Their secondary structure includes four short double-helical elements and three loops (D, anti-codon, and T loops). The record is from RNAcentral. Lineage: Bacteria; Bacillati; Bacillota; Clostridia; Eubacteriales.
GGCGGCGUAGCUCAGUUGGCUAGAGCAUGCGGUUCAUACCCGCAGUGUCAGCGGUUCGAAUCCGUUCGCCGCUACCA